CAUAUCAAUAAGCGGAGGAAAAGAAACCAACAGGGAUUGCCCCAGUAACGGCGAGUGAAGCGGCAACAGCUCAAAUUUGAAAUCUGGCCUUGGCCCGAGUUGUAAUUUGUAGAGGAUGCUUUUGGCGCGGUGCCUUCCGAGUUCCCUGGAACGGGACGCCAUAGAGGGUGAGAGCCCCGUCUGGUUGGAAACCUAGCCUCUGUAAAGCUCCUUCGACGAGUCGAGUAGUUUGGGAAUGCUGCUCUAAAUGGGAGGUAUAUGUCUUCUAAAGCUAAAUAUUGGCCAGAGACCGAUAGCGCACAAGUAGAGUGAUCGAAAGAUGAAAAGCACUUUGAAAAGAGGGUUAAAUAGUACGUGAAAUUGUUGAAAGGGAAGCGUUUGUGACCAGACUUGGGCUUGGUUGAUCAUCCGGCGUUCUCGCCGGUGCACUCUGCCUGUCCAGGCCAGCAUCAGUUCGUCUUGGGGGAUAAAGGCGGUGGGAACGUAGCUCCUCCGGGAGUGUUAUAGCCCGCCGUGCAAUACCCUG
This 526-nucleotide ribosomal RNA is filed under the name Hypocreales sp. RNAcentral's name for it is "eukaryotic LSU rRNA". It matches the Rfam family "Eukaryotic large subunit ribosomal RNA", at positions 39 to 578 of the family's 3401-position model. The record is from RNAcentral. Lineage: Eukaryota; Fungi; Ascomycota; Sordariomycetes; Hypocreales.